GAUCCUGGCUCAGGACGAACGCUGGCGGCGCGCCUAACACAUGCAAGUCGAACGGAGAAUGCAAGACAGAAGCUUUCGGGCGGAAGACCUGUAUUCUUAGUGGCGGACGGGUGAGUAACACGUGAGCAACCUACCUUCAAGAGGGGGAUAGCACCUGGAAACGGGUGGUAAUACCGCAUAAGACCACGGAGCCGCAUGGCUUUGGGGUCAAAGGAGCAAUCCGCUUGAAGAUGGGCUCGCGUCCGAUUAG
This 250-nucleotide ribosomal RNA is filed under the name uncultured bacterium. RNAcentral's name for it is "partial 16S ribosomal RNA". It matches the Rfam family "Bacterial small subunit ribosomal RNA", at positions 15 to 244 of the family's 1533-position model. The record is from RNAcentral.